AAAAUUGGAAGGAAAUGCAUUGCAUGAUGGAUUUAACAUUAUCAAGUUGAUUAUAUAGCGAGCUGACAAACACUGUGAGUGUAGAAAAUAUGUAGUAAUUAAUGAAAGAAGUCUAAACACACCAUAAUCAUUUAUAUAUAAUGAAUUAGUACAAUAUUUUACACUUUAUACAUUGCAUGGUAAGAUACAUGAGUGACUUAGUACCAUAUAGAGUUCCUAUGAGGUUCAAAUUUUUCACUAUCUUCAUCAUCUCUAUGUGUAGAGUGAGUGUAUUGUGAAG
This 280-nucleotide long non-coding RNA is filed under the name Malus domestica (apple). RNAcentral's name for it is "long non-coding RNA (MDOM_LNC019779)". Lineage: Eukaryota; Viridiplantae; Streptophyta; Magnoliopsida; Rosales; Rosaceae. The record is from RNAcentral.